AGGCGCACCGGCCGGCCUCGGAGCUCUACCAGCAGGCUUUCAUGGGAGCGGAGGUGCCCACGUUUCCAUUGUGCGGUAACCGCGCUUCAUCACAGCCACCUCCAAUCGAGGCCGCACGGUGUCCCCAGAACCACGCUCGGUACAACCUGCCCCGGCCGCUGCGCUCGACUUGGGAGCGCGCCCCGCCCCGAGCGCACGACCUCCCUUCCCUCUCCGCGACUUGAGCUUGCUUCCCGGAAAGCCAGUGUAGUGGCAGCGGUUUGCCUCACAGCGCCCCUGUGGUCUCAAAUAGUCAA
Molecule: long non-coding RNA, 296 nt
Filed under: Homo sapiens (human)
Lineage: Eukaryota; Metazoa; Chordata; Mammalia; Primates; Hominidae
Description: non-protein coding CYP1B1-AS1:41
Source: RNAcentral